UACGGAGGAUGCGAGCGUUAUCCGGAUUUAUUGGGUUUAAAGGGUGCGUAGGUGGCUUGUUAAGUCAGCGGUGAAAUGUUUAAGCUCAACUUAGACACUGCCGUUGAAACUGGCGAGCUUGAGUGCAAAGGAGGUAGGCGGAAUUCGUGGUGUAGCGGUGAAAUGCAUAGAUAUCACGAGGAACUCCGAUUGCGUAGGCAGCUUACUAUCAUGCAACUGACACUGAAGCACGAAAGCGUGGGUAUCAAACAGGAUUAGAUACCCUGGUAGUCCACGCAGUAAACGAUGAUAACUGGGCGUAUGCGAUAUACCGUAUGCUCCUAAGCGAAAGCGUUAAGUUAUCCACCUGGGGAGUACGCCGGCAACGGUG
This 370-nucleotide ribosomal RNA is filed under the name uncultured bacterium. RNAcentral describes it as "bacterial SSU rRNA". It matches the Rfam family "Bacterial small subunit ribosomal RNA", at positions 524 to 896 of the family's 1533-position model. The record is from RNAcentral.